ACAACAACGAACAUGGAGGCGAUGGUUCACCUGCUGCUCGGUCUGUGGCUUUCUGUCAGAUUCAAAGUAAUAGAAGAGUCGGAGAAAGCUGAGAGCGGCGAGUGGAAACACUCAGGAGACACACAGGAGAGUUUGGGAGGCGAUGCAGCAGUAUCAAGCUGAAGACAAGAGGAUAUGAACUAUGAUAUGAGGAUGUUCAGAGGGAGAUGAUGCCACAUCUGGUCCAGCUGAUGGAAGGUCUUGAAGUUCUCUGACUGGCCUCGACUGAAGAUGGUCGUCUCACUGGAUUUAAGAUGCACAAUGAAGGACGUCUGCAGUGACUGAGAAAGAGUCUCACCACAUCCUGACAUGAGGAAAAAGACUUUAUUGAAGACUACAAUGAGAAAAACUAUCAGACAGCAGACGGCUGCAUUCAAGGUGAGCUCUGAACAUUUGAUCUGGAACAGGAAUUCAAUAACUGCAGCAUGAGCUUCAUUUCAGUCUGUAGCUGCUGGAUUCAUGGAUGAAUCAUCUGGCACUAGAGAGGAAGACCAUCAAACAUCCACGUCAACAAGUUCACUGACUCCCCGACUCGUGGGUCUGAGGACGCCGUCGAGCCUCGGUCCAGCCGGCCUCCUGUCUGUGGGUGUUUGAGUGCUGAGAGGUUUGUGGAUGCAUGUGAACGUAUCUGUGUUGAAACAGCAGCUUUGGACUCAGUAACGCCGGGAAAAACCAAGAGCUCCUUUAUUUGUGACUUCCACUAAAAAAACUGAUGAAAAUAAGUUUGCCAGGGUUCUGACUGAUAACAGAUUAUUAAAUAAUGAAAAUAAUAGUUUAAAUAUUCCUUUAAACAAGCCUUUUAGGUCUACAUUUCCUUUACACUGACUUCUUGGUAUAUGUACAAGUAUUUUGGGUGGAAUAUACCAAUAAGCCCGAUGUUCAAGGGUUCUUCUGGGAAUAUACCAUUAAACCAACCUUUCAGGUAAAUGUUCUAAGAUGUUGGAUAGAAUAUACCAUCAUAUCAACCUGUUAGGUCUAUUUUGGAAGAUUUUAGAGUAGAAUAUUACUCCAAACCAUCCUUUAGCUCUACAUUUAAUGUGGAAUACUCCUUUACACCAAGAUUUUUUGGUCUACAUUGAAGGAUUUUAGGUGGAAUAUUCCUUUGAACAAGCUUUUUAAGUUUCUGUUCAAGGAUGUUGGGUGGAAUAUACCAUCAGACCAACCUCCAAGGUCUACAGUAGUGAAUUUUAGGUAGAAUAUACCAUUAAACUCACCUUUUAGGUCUACAUUGGAGUAUUUUAGGUGGAAUUUUCUUCCAAACCGUCUUUUACUCUACAUUUAAGGAUGUUUAGGAUGGUAUAUUCUUCCAAACCAACUUCUCAGGUCUACAUUUCAGGUGGAAUAUUCCUCCAUACUAACUUUUUUGGUCUACAUUGAAGGAUUCUUUCUAAACCACCCUUUCAGGUCUAUAUUUGAGGUUUUAGGUGGAAUAUUCCUUUUAACCAGCCCCUCAGGUCUCUGAGGAUUUUGGAUGGAAUACUCGGUUAAACCAACAUUUUCGGUGCAUGUCCAAGGAUUUUAGGUGGAAUGUUCCUUUAAGGUGGAUGUUUGAGGACCUUGUAGGUGGAAUACUUCCUGAAACCAACCCUUUAGGUCAACAUUCAAAGAUUUAAGGUGGAAUAUUCCAUUACACCAACCUAAAUUUCAUGUUUUGGUCAUUUUCAAGUGAGAAACCUCAAUCCAGACUCCUCAUAAUGACAUUUGACAUUUAUGCUGCUGUUAUUUUUUUAGUCCAGACUAAAUGACAGAAAUCCACAACUGUAAUUUUAUUUCAGGACUCAGUUAUUCAAUGUCAAAACAAUCCAUGUGACUCUAAAAACUCAACAGCUUUACAAACUCUAAGAUUAAACUCUCCACAAGGAUCCAAAAUAAGUUGGACUUCUACAUGAGAGCUUUAAUUAUUCUUCAUCUACUUCCUGAAAAGUCUGGUCAAUAAAAAAGACAAAAACUAAUAUUUUCAGCUGAACUAAAGACAGACUGAUUUUUCUGCUCACAUGUUGUUGUAAACUUCCUCUUUCAAAUAAAUAUCCUCCUAACCCCCUGGAAACCAGCGUUUGUCCUGUUUUUGUGUUGCUCCUCUGCGACCCUAGACAGCCAGGUCGUAAUGUCUUUUGAGCAACACACCAUACUAUGACGUUUUUACAAUGAUGGUUCUACUAUGGAACCAGUUUGACAUGUUCAGGCGUUCUUUGUGUGAAAACUCAGAUUUCAGGGAUUUCUUUGUUAACUUUCUGCUUCAACUUUAAAUUAAAUUUCCUUCACUAACCCCGCCCUCUGGACUUCCAGGAAGCUGUGUUCCUAUUGGCUGUCCAGGUGGCUGCUUGGUGUUAUCAGGAACACCUGAGCAGCUCAGUGUCUUCCUGCUUUAUUUAGCUGCAGACAAACAUUUCCUCUGCUUCUGUUCACCACUGAACCGGGUUUGGCUCUGUUGCCUUAGUUUGUUCUUUAGGCGUUGGCUUGCAGCUUCCAGCAGUAAAAUCAUCUUUAAUGUGUUUCUUGGUGUGUUUUAGGGCUUUGUACUGGAUAGUUGUCUUGGUAAAUGUGGUUCUUUAGCCAGUUAGCACGUGGUGCUAAUGUGUGCAGUGAUUAGUGGAUUUGGUACAGCUGAGUUGUGUCUUUAUCUUGGCUGUAGUGAGUCUUUAGAGGUUUUUGCUCAGACACAUUCUGGAUUCUUGUUUGAGAAGCAACAUUGGUUGUCCAGAAGGUAAGAGUUCCUGUCCUGAUUCUCUGUUCUCAGAGGUUCUCUGGUAGGCUGUAGGAGACUUUAGUGUUUGGGUUGUGCUAGUUUGGUUUUUGUACGGUUUCAUUUAGACGACUAUCUUGAGGCCCCUCCAUGUGGUUUAGUGAGGUUUUCUGCAACAGUUCUACAUAGCAACCUGCAGCAGAAGAGACUUUGAGAGUUUUCAGGAAGUUCUGGAGACCAGACUUUAGAGCAGCAGAAACAUUUGUCAGCAGUUUGAGCAGGAGAAGGUGAGCUUUAGAGUAGAAAUGAGACGGAAACCUUCUUGACCCAUGUGGUUAGGUCCUGUACCAAGAGUUUGAGCAGGUUGUGAAGAGUCUGUAGUUCUUUGGUCUGAAAGCACAAGAAGAGUUGACUCAUUAAAGGAGAAAACCGGUGAUAUUGUUGGUUCUUCUGUCACUCUGCAGUUUCCAGUUUCCAUAGACUGAAUAUCAAGUUUAUAUUUUAAAUGAUUUCCCAUGUGAGCCCAAGACUUCAAUAAACUCCCCCCAUCCCCUGGACACAACACAUUUAAUUAUGAUGUUAAAUCUUUUUUUUUUUUUUUUUUAAUGUUUUUGAGUUUUAAUCAUAGUUUUAGCAUAGUUUUUUUCUCUUUGUUUAAUUUUGUCAUCUGUGUGAAAGGUGCUAAACAAAUAAAGUUGAAUUGAUAAACUGAAUAAUUGACUAACUCAU
Amphiprion ocellaris (clown anemonefish) is the source of this 3451-nucleotide long non-coding RNA. RefSeq lists it as uncharacterized. NCBI's taxonomy places the organism in Eukaryota, Metazoa, Chordata, Actinopteri, Pomacentridae. The transcript is spliced from 3 exons. The record is from RefSeq and is a predicted model, not a curated record.